GUUUUAAUAGUUUAACAAAAAACAUUGAUUUUGUAAAUCAAAAAUGAACUUUAUCUUAAAAUU
RNAcentral lists this transfer RNA (63 nucleotides) under Chimarra paramonorum. RNAcentral's name for it is "tRNA-Thr". Lineage: Eukaryota; Metazoa; Arthropoda; Insecta; Trichoptera; Philopotamidae. The record is from RNAcentral.